CCUACGGGAGGCAGCAGUGGGGAAUAUUGCACAAUGGGGGGAACUCUGAUGCAGCGACGCCGCGUGGGUGAGGAAGUACUUCGGUAUGUAAAGCCCUAUCAGCAGGGAAGAAAAUGACGGUACCUGACUAAGCAGCCCCGGCUAAUUACGUGCCAGCAGCCGCGGUAAUACGGAGGGGGCAAGCGCUAUCCGGAUUUACUGGGUGUAACGGGAGCGGAGGCGGCGUGCCAAGUCUGAUGUGAAAGGCCGGGGCUCAACCCCGGGGCUGCAUUGGAAACUGGCAGGCUGGAGUGCAGAAGGGGCGAGUGGAAUUCCAAGUGUAGCGGUGAAAUGCGUAGAUAUUAGGAGGAACACCAGUGGCGAAGGCGGCUUGCUGGACUGUAACUGACGUUGAGGCUCGAAAGCGUGGGGAGCAAACAGGAUUAGAUACCCGAGUAGUC
RNAcentral lists this ribosomal RNA (440 nucleotides) under uncultured bacterium. Its description in RNAcentral is "partial 16S ribosomal RNA". It matches the Rfam family "Bacterial small subunit ribosomal RNA", at positions 338 to 795 of the family's 1533-position model. The record is from RNAcentral.